AGAGAUAGAGCAACUCUGUUUUGUUUCUGUUUAGAAUUAUAACUCCUGUUUUGAGUUCUCACAUGAAAGUCUGCAAGACCUAACUCAGCAGUAUCACAUUUUAAACCGCUCUGGUUUAAAUUCGCUUAUUUGGAACACAGAACAGUCUGGCAUUUAUGUGUUCAAAGUGAAGAUGCUGGAUCCAAACUUCAGUUUUUGUGACUUGAAAACAUUCUUUGCAGUCCAUACUUACGGCAUAGUAGAAAGUCCAGACAUUGCCAAGACCAUUAUGUUUUCAAUCUUUGUACUGUCCCUGUUUUUGGGAAUACUUGUCUUAAGCUACUUCAGAUAUGCAAGGAUUUUUCAGACAAUCAGAUACGUUGAUCCACUGCCAUCCCCUGGCCUGCAAGAUCAUACAAAAGAGGCAUCACAGGACUUAAAGAAGGACCAAUAACCUGUUUAUUUACUGUAUAGGUGACAUUCUAUGUAUAGAAAUUAUAAGAACACUGUAACGUUUAAAAUAAUUUAAGUAUGGUUGGAUUAAGUGUUGUUUUCAUAAGCAGCUUUCCACAUACUAAAACUAGCAUGAUUAAUAUGUUUCCAGUUUGAGGGACAUAAAUUAUGCUCUCAUUCAUUUCUUAACCCCAUCUUUCCCCGGGAGCAUCCAGUGAGUAUUAUCUCCUCUUCACCAAUGUAAGUCAACCAUGUUGCUUUUUUCAAAUAACUCUCAAGACCAGAUCAUCAGCUGGGGUAAACUGGAGCUGUUCCACUGUAUAAUCCAUUUACAUUAGCUGAUUAUCUGAACCUGAGAUUUAAACAAUUCAUUAUAUUUUAAACAGAUGAGACCCUCAUUUAAAAAUAUUUUUCAGAACCUUGGUAGAUAAGACGGCUUUUAAAGUAUUCUGACAACUGUGAUUCUAAUGCCUAUGUACUGUAUUUUUAUAGCAAAUAGUAGAUACAGCUCUGACAAUGUGACCACAAUUUUAGUACAAAAAUAUUGACUGUAAUUUAGAGUCCUGUUAAAACUUGAAAGAACUUAGCUAUUCAAAAAAAGCAUACAUCUUUCAUCUAAGUGGUAUACUUUUGAAAAGCUUCAAAAGAGGAUCAAUUCACAUCAACUGUCAAAGCUUAAUAAAUCCAGAUUCAGCAAACUUUAUAUUUCCA
RNAcentral lists this long non-coding RNA (1143 nucleotides) under Crocodylus porosus (Australian saltwater crocodile). RNAcentral describes it as "lncRNA (ENSCPRG00005014239.1)". The record is from RNAcentral. Lineage: Eukaryota; Metazoa; Chordata; Crocodylia; Crocodylidae.